RNAcentral lists this ribosomal RNA (253 nucleotides) under uncultured Petrimonas sp. RNAcentral's name for it is "partial 16S ribosomal RNA". It matches the Rfam family "Bacterial small subunit ribosomal RNA", at positions 524 to 776 of the family's 1533-position model. The record is from RNAcentral. Lineage: Bacteria; Pseudomonadati; Bacteroidota; Bacteroidia; Bacteroidales; Dysgonomonadaceae.
UACGGAGGAUCCAAGCGUUAUCCGGCUUUAUUGGGUUUAAAGGGUGCGCCGGCGGAAGAUUAAGUCGGCGGUGAACUUUUGCAGCUCAACUGGAAAAGUGCCAUCGAUACUGGUUUUCUUGAGUGUGGAUGAAGUAGGCGGAAUUUGUGGUGUAGCGGUGAAAUGCAUAGAUAUCACGAGGAACUCCGAUUGCGAAGGCAGCUUACUAAACCAUAACUGACGCUCAGGCACGAAGGCGUGGGGAUCAAACAGG